GCGCUCCCCGGCGCCCCCCCGCCCCGAGUCUAACGGUGGCCCCCACCGGCCCUAACACCGAGCGUGCCGCACGGGGGGUGGAAGGCAAGGGGCGCGCCAGGAGCAGGACUUCCCGCCCCCGGGGCCGGCCGGCGACAGAACCGAAAAGCUUCUGGCCGUUGUUACCGCCAGGUGCCGGCCGGCGACCCGUCUGGGGAGCAGCCCUGCCCAUCCAGAAACUGAACUUCAGAAAACUGCCUUGUAGAAAAACAGCAUUUCAGCCACAUUCUCUCAUCAAAUGUGUAUGUGACGCACUCAUCUGUCAGAAAUAUCUCUGAUGGUCGCCAGUGUCUGCAAAUCAGAGGACUCAACAGAUGUCUUUGCUCCGUGGGUAUAAACUUGAGACAUCAGGAAGCUGCAGAUGCAGAACUGGAGGGUAGUGACGUGUUGCUUUCAGAAUACAAAACGAAACUCUAUUUUGAGUCUGAAUUUGAAACACGCGUGUGUGUAUUCUUACUUUCAAGCUCAAGGAUAGACUGUUUAUAACUAGCAUUGAACACAGAGAUUCCUUGGACGCUUUUUGGAACAUUCCUUGUAGCAGUGGAAACCAUUUCGCUGUAGCUCUCUCCUCUUCAUGACGUGCCUCGAAUAAUUCAGACGGCAGAAACGUUGAGAUGGCAAGAGCCUGCCUUUGAGGCUGCAUUUCCUCCCAGUGGCUGAAGUAGCUCACUCAGGUCCUUCAAGGAACUCUCAGUGAAUACAUGACCUCAGGUCUCAGGAGGAGGGACCCUCGGAAAGCUCUGAAUCCUCCCCAGUUGUUAGAGACAUGACUUGCUUUAAAUAGCAGAUGUUUCUGGAAAGUUGGCAAAUAUAGUUUUUGUGAUUGACGUAAUACCUCAAAUUAUGCCAGGGAGGUUUUCUUUAAAUAGAAGAACCUAUUGUGACUCCUCUUGUGAAUAUUAACUCUCUCAUCUCUUUGGAUUAAAAUUAAAUUUUUGUAAAAGGAGGAGGGGCAGGGAUGCAUUUAAACAACCAACAAGUUUGUUGGAUGGAAAUGCCUGCAUUUUUGUGUACAUGUUUAUGAUGAAACUGAUGACCCUCUGGUCACCUUUUCUUUUUUAAUAAUGUCUUAAUUUUUUUAUGUGGGCUAUCUUUUAAAAGUUUUUAUUGAAUUUAUUACAACAUUGCUUCUGUUUUAUGUUUUGAUUUUUUUGGCCUCAAGGCUUGUGGGAUCUUAGCCUCCUGAACAGGGGUCAAACCCACACCCCUUCAUUGUUACGUGAAGUCUUAACCACUGGAUUGGCAGGGAAGUCCCUCAUCACCUCUUCUUAAAAACAAACCCAAACUCACCACACAUACCCACUUACCUGCUUGCAGAGCCACAUCAGGCCCGGGUGCAGACUUGCCCUUAGGUGAACUUUGUGAUGCCUCAUCUCAUGACAUCCUUGUGACACCAAUUUGAAGUGUCUGGUGGCCCCAUUGUACAGAUGUGGAUGUAAGGGCUCUAGCUCGUGUUUGGUGGGGAUCACGCAUAAAAUGCCCCAGUGCCUCAGAGCCUGCGUUCUGAUGAGGAGAAGGACCACAGAUCAGUAAAGGAGCAGGUCCACACUGGUGACAGUGCUCAAGGUUUUACAGCUGCUAAGGGGAGAAUUAGGAACUUUGUCCCAUCAUCCCCCCCUUCCGAGGUGAAGGAAUCGUAGGGAAGUGGUCCCUGCCCAUAGGGACCUUGUGACCCAGUUGGGGGCGGAUUUAGCAGAGCUGAUGUUGUGUCAGAAUGGGGGCUGCUGGGAAGAUGAGUCAGUGCCGAAUGGAGUUGUGGGAGGAGAGAUUGCUGUGUGCUGGGAAAUUUGGAAAAGGAUCAAAAUAAGAGAUCGGGUUUGAGCCAAGCCUUAAGUUGCUCUCUCCUUGCCCAAUUUUUCUUGGAAAUACUUGGAAAUGAAAUUCUGUUGUCUUGCUGCCCAGUUCUUUGGUGGAGACUUCUUUUUUUUAAAUGA
This is a long non-coding RNA of Capra hircus (goat), 1973 nucleotides long. NCBI's taxonomy places the organism in Eukaryota, Metazoa, Chordata, Mammalia, Artiodactyla, Bovidae. The record is from Ensembl.